This is a long non-coding RNA of Oncorhynchus tshawytscha (Chinook salmon), 1242 nucleotides long. NCBI's taxonomy places the organism in Eukaryota, Metazoa, Chordata, Actinopteri, Salmoniformes, Salmonidae. The record is from Ensembl.
CCCUGAUAGGCCUGUGUUUUAUCCACUCACACUGUUAUCCUGCUCCCUGAUAGGCCUGUUAUACUGCUCCCUGAUAGGCCUGUUAUACUGCUCCCUGAUAGGCCUGUGUUUUAUCCACUCACUGUUAUCCUGCUCCCUGAUAGGCCUGUGUUUUAUCCACUCACUGUUAUCCUGCUCCCUGAUAGGCCUGUGUUUUAUCCACUCACUGUUAUACUGCUCCCUGAUAGGCCUGUUAUACUGCUCCCUGAUAGGCCUGUGUUUUAUCCACUCACUGUUAUACUGCUCCCUGAUAGGCCUGUGUUUUAUCCACUCACUGUUAUACUGCUCCCUGAUAGGCCUGUGUUUUAUCCACUCACUGUUAUCCUGCUCCCUGAUAGGCCUGUGUUUUCUGAACACAAUCUGAACCAUUUUAACAGACAGAUUCACACAAUGCCGCGGACCUUGUGACCUUGUGACCAUAAAACCAAGAAGGCGAAGAGUUCUAAUACGAUUGGUUGUAAUGAAAUUAAACGACAAAACAAGUCCAUCUGUUUUUUUUUUUUUUUUUAAAAAGAACAACAAUAAAUAUGUGUCAAAUGUAAAGUCUCCGGGAUAAUAAUAGAGCCCUGUUGAACCAGCCGUCGUUAUAUUAGGCCUACGGAGGGCUUGGGAACAUACGAAACGGAAAACAUCAAUUAUUACAGAGUUACAGGUAACUUAUAAAUACGAGGUUCACCGGGUUUCACGGAGGAUCUCAUCUCUCAUGAUGGGUAUGACACGUGGGCUACAUGAAGGAGGGUGUUUAUUUACCAAAGUCCAAAACGGGACCUGCAUGGCUAAAAUAAAGUGGGCAUAACUACAAGGCAGAGAUACAAAGUGAAUGUCAUCUCACUGUUUUACUCAUCUCAAGCGUUAUAUGUUAAUAACGCUUUGGGGAUUAAUAUGUAUUUCCAAGCGGUUUGACUCCUUCGCUAUUGCAUCGCAUUGAGACUUUAUUGAGAGGAGGGGAAGCUAUGCUUGGUUUUUAACCAAAUAAAACGAAAUGUGGAAUUUUUUUGUGUUGUUUUUUUGUGUUUCUAAAUACGAAGUUUACAGGCACCAAAAGCACAUUAGGCUACUAUUGUUCCAUGUUCAUAUGGUCAGUGGUCGUCACGGCUGGAUAGGCUGUGUUUCCGCUGUCAAAGUUCAUACCAUAACCAACUGCGUAACCUCUAAAACCAGCUUUUGUUUGGUCUUAAAUAUCCCUAUUGACGCUGCCUGAAA